CGAUCGGUAGCCGGCCUGAGAGGGCACACGGCCACACUGGCACUGAAACACGGGCCAGACUCCUACGGGAGGCAGCAGUGGGGAAUCUUGCACAAUGGGGGAAACCCUGAUGCAGCGACGCCGCGUGAGCGAUGAAGCCCUUCGGGGUGUAAAGCUCUUUCGGCAGGAACGAUAAUGACGGUACCUGCAGAAGAAGCUGCGGCUAACUACGUGCCAGCAGCCGCGGUAAUACGUAGGCAGCAAGCGUUGUUCGGAGUUACUGGGCGUAAAGAGUGCGUAGGUGGUUCUCUAAGUUCGGUGUGAAAUCUCCCGGCUCAACUGGGAGGGUGCGCCGAAAACUGGAGGGCUUGAGUAUGGGAGAGGAGAGCGGAAUUCCUGGUGUAGCGGUGAAAUGCGUAGAUAUCAGGAGGAACACCUGUGGUGCAGACGGCUCUCUGGACCAUUACUGACACUGAGGCACGAAAGCGUGGGGAGCAAACAGGAUUAGAUACCCUGGUAGUCCACGCCCUAAACGAUGCAUACUUGGUGUGGGUCAUUCAGUUGAUCCGUGCCGGAGCUAACGCGUUAA
RNAcentral lists this ribosomal RNA (568 nucleotides) under uncultured bacterium. Its description in RNAcentral is "bacterial SSU rRNA". It matches the Rfam family "Bacterial small subunit ribosomal RNA", at positions 277 to 863 of the family's 1533-position model. The record is from RNAcentral.